Molecule: ribosomal RNA, 433 nt
Filed under: uncultured bacterium
Lineage: Bacteria
Description: partial 16S ribosomal RNA
Rfam family: Bacterial small subunit ribosomal RNA
Source: RNAcentral
AACGAACGCUGGCGGUAUGCCUAACACAUGCAAGUCGAACGAGACCUUCGGGUCUAGUGGCGCACGGGUGCGUAACGCGUGGGAACCUUCCCUUAGGUUCGGAAUAACUCCCCGAAAGGGGUGCUAAUACCGGAUAAUUUCUUCGGACCAAAGAUUUAUCGACUUUGGAUGGGCCCGCGUUGGAUUAGCUAGUUGGUAGGGUAAAAGCCUACCAAGGCGACGAUCCAUAGCUGGUCUGAGAGGAUGAUCAGCCACACUGGGACUGAGACACGGCCCAGACUCUUGCGGGAGGCAGCAGUGGGGAAUAUUGGAAUAUGGGCGAGAGCCUGAUGCAGCAAUGCCGCGUGAGUGAUGAAGGCCUUAGGGUUGUACAGCUCUUUUACCCGGGAUGAUAAUGACAGUACCGGGAGAAUAAGCACCGGCUAACUCCGUG